Molecule: ribosomal RNA, 455 nt
Filed under: uncultured Bacilli bacterium
Lineage: Bacteria; Bacillati; Bacillota; Bacilli
Description: bacterial SSU rRNA
Rfam family: Bacterial small subunit ribosomal RNA
Source: RNAcentral
AGAGUUUGAUCCUGGCUCAGGACGAACGCUGGCGGCGUGCCUAAUACAUGCAAGUCGAGCGGAGUUAUCCUUCGGGGUAGCUUAGCGGCGGACGGGUGAGUAACACGUAGGCAACCUGCCUGCAAGACUGGGAUAACAUUCGGAAACGAAUGCUAAUACCGGAUACGCAGUUUCCCCGCAUGAGGGAACUGGGAAAGACGGCGCAAGCUGUCACUUACAGACGGGCCUGCGGUGCAUUAGCUAGUUGGUGAGGUAACAGCUCACCAAGGCAACGAUGCAUAGCCGACCUGAGAGGGUGAUCGACCACACUGGGACUGAGACACGGCCCAGACUCCUACGGGAGGCAGCAGUAGGGAAUCUUCCGCAAUGGACGAAGGUCUGACGGAGCAACGCCGCGUGAGUGAUGAAGGUUACUCGGAUCGUAAAGCUCUGUUGCCAGGGAAGAACAGCCAGGC